GCUCCUAGAGACUGUUCUUUUUCCUGCCCCUUAGGAGACACAGACACCGUAGCAACCGCACUAAGCCCAGCGGUAAUGUGUUUUCCUAUAUGGAGUUCCACCCACCUAUGCAGGAGUCCACCACUGACUAUCUUCAUCAUAAGCCACCCUGCCCCCAACCAGCACUAUGCUCAAAGGCAAAAGAAACAACCAAACAAACAUGAAAUGCUGGUGAAAACUGCUUUUGAAAUUCCACAUGCCCUUAAAUGUUAAAUGCAGAGAACAGUUCUUAUGUCCCCAGCUUCAAAUAAAUUCAAACUGGGUCCUGUCUGGACACCACCACCAGCACCCACCUCUCCCCUGACAAGGGGCAAUGGGUAAUAGAAGGCUACCAUGAGACAGGCAAGAAUCACUGGAACAAGCCAAUCACUUCUCCCCCGCCUCUAGACACCCCCUCUCCAGGGGACAGAAGAUCCCCACCUGUUUGACUACUCUUCUUCAAAUAGUACAUCCCUCAAUCCCACCCAGCAAGAGACACUGGCUCUCCAAACACAGCCAGAGAACUGUGACCCUGGUGUUCAGGAGCAAACAUAUCCAGCAUGUGCAGAAGGAAACUGCCCCCGGCUGGCAGCCCACUACUUAAUCUGCAUGAAGAGCUGAGCUGGCCAAAGCAGGAGACGGCCAUCCUGGCUGGCAACAGCACUGUCAAAUUUGAUGGGGACACAGUGACCAGGGUAAAGUGCCCAAGCUCUCUGUCAACAAGUAAUCAGCAUGAAGGUCCUAUAACUUCAGGAUGUAUGGGGGAAAACAAGGAAGAGUUUAUCCUGCUGGGAUAUCCCAACCCCCCUUUUCUUGGGAGACCCAGAAAUGUGGCUCUCCCUAAUCUACAACCAUUCACAGACUGAUCUCUCCCUGACAACAGACAGGCAUUCCUCUCUUCCCAGAGGUCUUGUCUACCACCUCCCAAGCCCCUGGCAAAAAGAGACAAGGGUGCCCCUCUAACACACUUGGUUAGGAUCUUCAAAGCCGAGUUCCAAACUGAAACUACCAGCAAGCAGUUCUUCCAGGACUGGGGAACUCAGCUUCAAGUACACUAGGACCUCCUUGCAGAGGCUAUGAGAACCCCUGGUAAGAACUGCUCUGGACAGGAAACAGUCCCUUGGACUGCCCCCUCACCUCUUACCUUGCUACUGGAGUGAAGAUAGGUGGGGGUGACAACUGCAGG
Molecule: long non-coding RNA, 1204 nt
Filed under: Homo sapiens (human)
Lineage: Eukaryota; Metazoa; Chordata; Mammalia; Primates; Hominidae
Description: HSALNT0181677
Source: RNAcentral